CGGUGCAAGCAUAAGCAGGUGCGAUAGCAGCACGGAGGCGCUCCAACAACAACAAAGAGGGGAGGUUGCGCCAGGAGGACACAGGCCGCGUAUGUGUUUGUGCGCGUGAGUAGCAGUACUUCGAGGCGUUUCCAUUUCCGUGCCGCCGGCGUCCCCCGGCCUCUUUUUCCUUCGCUUGCUUACAUUUGUUGCGUGCUCACCCGUACCACUCUGCUCGUCUCCCGGCUCUCUCCCCUCCUUCCCUGAGGAUGGCUAGUCAUGACGGCAUUAGCGACUUCAGCUCUUCAUCCGCCGGCGAUGCGGUGAAGUCGGCCCGAGUGACCACCGACAGCGUCCAGGGGUUGCUUCGCGCUGCACGUCAAAAUCCGGAGAAGGAGCUUGGCAUCCCAUUGGAUGAGCUGGAGAGACGUCAGAGAGAGGCGUGUAAGGCACGCCAGUUUGUGAGUGAGUCUACAAGCCGUAAGUUCGAUGUGAAGAGCUCGGCGCGAGCGCAGCAGAUUAUGAACCAGGGUGUUGACAAGUACCAGCGAGAAAAACGUCAGAGAGACCUGAGGCACAAUCUGUCGAUGCUGCGCAAACUGCAGGUGGUGCUGUGCGUCUUCGGCGCCGGCUUGUUUGGUUGGCUGGCCGUGACGUACCUGCUGCCGCGUUACUUCGCGGUGCAAGACCGCCAACGUCGCAUGCAGUUGCGCUACGAGCGCGCGCAGAGGAGCUUGGAAGGCAUCGGCGACGGUGGCGCGGCCGCGGCGCCGGUUGGCCCGGUGGUGCGCGUCUUUCGCGUAGAGGACGGAGGUGAGGUUAGCAUGAAGCACACCAUUCAGUGAAGGGAAUCACAAGUGGUUUGCCGCUGGCGACGUGUGUGGCUGCAUGACAGCGAUUUUGUUUUUGUUCACAGCGCCGUGAUUGUAGCGUGAAGUGCGUGACUCGCCAGGCAUGCAUCACCUUCAAAGCAGAAGAUCAUGAAAAAACGGCAGCGGCUUGACAGCAGUAGCGUGCAGCGCGCUCCCUCGGCUGCUCUCUGCCUCACAUGCGUGGCCCGGCCUGGAUAACCGACGUGCACAUGCAUUGCUGGCCACGAAGUUAGAGGAGGCAUCUUGUUUCCGUCCGCAUCUAGGUCAAGCUCAACCACCCCACAGCGAGAGGACAGGUGCUUCUCCUUUACUUCUGUCGUCAACGCAGUGCCGGGCCCAUGUGUGUUGUCACCCCUUGCCCCUCAUUCCUAUCCAAUGCUACCUGAGCCCAACAUACGAGUGCGUGUGUGACGUCCACUCUGUGCAC
This 1278-nucleotide unclassified non-coding RNA is filed under the name Leishmania donovani. Its description in RNAcentral is "gene:LdHU3.29.1090(CDS-product:hypothetical_prote in_conserved)". Lineage: Eukaryota; Euglenozoa; Kinetoplastea; Trypanosomatida; Trypanosomatidae. The record is from RNAcentral.